GCAUAGCAAGUUACCGCGCGUUGCUCUGUCAGGGUUGCAGGAAGUGAACAUGGCACCUAAGGAGAAAAAGGGCCCCAAAAAACGUAAGAUGUCAUGGACGCAUUUAACUUCCCCGGCAAGGCCACACGGACAUGCGCGCUUAUUCGACCCUGGCUGAUGUAGUGCUGGCGAUGGGCCAACUGACGGCUUUUGUAGCUAUCUACAAGGGUGCUUGCAAAAGCUACGGAGUAGCACCCGACAAGCAGUUGCUUGAGGAGGCGGAGAAGAAACUCCUAAUCUGCAAGGCCAUUGACAAGGUGUACAGGGAAGGCAAAGGACAGGUCUUAAGACGACCCUGGAAUCCUGAUGAUGGAAUUCCAAUUGGGUUAUCUCCCGUUGUUCCCAGUUUUCCACUGCCCCAGUUUUCCACUGCCAGGAGCCCUUUCCACACAUCCGAGGAAGAGGCACUUCCAGAGCCUCUCAACCUACAAGACUUCUCAUCACCAGCCUCCUGCCCUUAAAACCCCGGCUUGGCCCCCUUUCCCAUCGGUCCCACAGAUAAUCCUCCGCGGGCCCCAGCACACUAGCAGCUCGCUCUGUGCAGUACUGGACGCAAUGGCGGGUACGUGUGUUGGGUUGGACCCGCCAUCUCCCUUUGGGCCUCUCCCCACCAGUGUACCCCCUGGUACCCCUCAUGGCAACAGCGUCCUCGGGACGCUAUUUUCCUCCACCCUGCGAAGCACACGUCCUGGCCUGCCUGACGGCGCCCUGGGCCCCCUGGCUCGGGCUGCUUGCCCUGACCUCCCGUCUUAGGGUAUGCGCACAUCCGCAAUCUGGUGCUCUGGGGCUGCAGCAUUGGAGAUGAGGUGAGGGGUACGACGGGGCGAUCAGAUGGAGCUUCCUGCGGUAUGUGUGUCGACAG
Molecule: long non-coding RNA, 901 nt
Filed under: Volvox carteri
Lineage: Eukaryota; Viridiplantae; Chlorophyta; Chlorophyceae; Chlamydomonadales; Volvocaceae
Description: long non-coding RNA (VCAR_LNC001076)
Source: RNAcentral